Molecule: ribosomal RNA, 546 nt
Filed under: uncultured Glomeromycotina
Lineage: Eukaryota; Fungi; Glomeromycota
Description: SSU rRNA
Rfam family: Eukaryotic small subunit ribosomal RNA
Source: RNAcentral
UUGGAGGGCAAGUCUGGUGCCAGCAGCCGCGGUAAUUCCAGCUCCAAUAGCGUAUAUUAAAGUUGUUGCAGUUAAAAAGCUCGUAGUUGAAUUUCGGGAUUAGUACGUUGGUCGUGCCUUCGGUACGUACUGGUGUUACUGAUUCCUACCUUCUGACGAACCAUCAUGUCAUUAAUUUGGUGUGGUGGGGAAUCAGGACUGUUACUUUGAAAAAAUUAGAGUGUUUAAAGCAGGCUCGCGCUUGAAUACAUUAGCAUGGAAUAAUGAAAUAGGACGUUGAUCCUAUUUUGUUGGUUUCUAGGAUUGACGUAAUGAUUAAUAGGGAUAGUUGGGGGCAUUAGUAUUCAAUUGUCAGAGGUGAAAUUCUUGGAUUUAUUGAAGACUAACUACUGCGAAAGCAUUUGCCAAGGAUGUUUUCAUUAAUCAAGAACGAAAGUUAGGGGAUCGAAGACGAUCAGAUACCGUCGUAGUCUUAWCCAUAAACUAUGCCGACUAGGGAUCGGAUGAUGUUAUUUUUAAUGACUCAUUCGGCGCCUUACGGGAAAC